This is a long non-coding RNA of Alosa sapidissima (American shad), 564 nucleotides long. RefSeq lists it as uncharacterized. The record is from RefSeq and is a predicted model, not a curated record. The transcript is spliced from 2 exons. Lineage: Eukaryota; Metazoa; Chordata; Actinopteri; Clupeiformes; Clupeidae.
GUGUGAAUAUGUGGCAGACAUAUUUGUAGUCUCCAUAUAUGGUGGCAUACAUAUCCAUACACUAGAUUACAUUACUUAUUUUCCAAAUGGAGAACAGUGUGAAUAUAUUUGUUUAUGUCUUGGCGUCACAGAUAAGGUGUCGACUAUGCUGCCUUAUGUGUCAAUGUUUUGUGUGGAGCGCUUUGGGUUGCACUAUGUGCAUGAAAAAUGUGUGAGGCCAAAGCUACUUUAAAUAUAACGGAUGCUUAUCGCAUCUUGAUAUGCGCAUGCGCACACAGCAAUACCCAUCCCCCACCCUGGACUGACAUUUGAACUCCAACCACGGUGACUUCAACCGUCACUUUUUGUCAUGCAUCCGACUGUGUAGCCUAAGCUGUACAAACUCUGCUGUCAUCAUAUCCAAGGUGGUGAUUUGUGAGGACUGCUGCCCUGAGAACACAGAGUACAUUCUGCAUAUGCCAAAUCAAUGUGUGCCACUUCCAUAAAGGGGAAAAAAGUUUCUACCUGGAGAGUGUACUCACUGUUUGUGUGGAAAAACUAAACUUUAAUAAAAGGUUAAACAAA